Molecule: ribosomal RNA, 468 nt
Filed under: uncultured bacterium
Lineage: Bacteria
Description: partial 16S ribosomal RNA
Rfam family: Bacterial small subunit ribosomal RNA
Source: RNAcentral
GACGAACGCUGGCGGCGUGCUUAACACAUGCAAGUCGAACGGAAAGGCCCUGCUUUUGUGGGGUGCUCGAGUGGCGAACGGGUGAGUAACACGUGAGUAACCUGCCCUUGACUUUGGGAUAACUUCAGGAAACUGGGGCUAAUACCGGAUAGGAGCUCCUGCUGCAUGGUGGGGGUUGGAAAGUUUCGGCGGUUGGGGAUGGACUCGCGGCUUAUCAGCUUGUUGGUGGGGUAGUGGCUUACCAAGGCUUUGACGGGUAGCCGGCCUGAGAGGGUGACCGGCCACAUUGGGACUGAUAUGCGGCCCAGACUCCUACGGGAGGCAGCAGUGGGGAAUAUUGCACAAUGGGCGGAAGCCUGAUGCAGCAACGCCGCGUGCGGGAUGACGGCCUUCGGGUUGUAAACCGCUUUCGCCUGUGACGAAGCGUUAGUGACGGUAAUGGGUAAAGAAGCACCGGCUAACUACGUG